GCUUCUUAAAUGUUCUCACAGAACUUUCAACGUAGUUUAGCAGAUGAAAUAAAUACUUGAAAAGAUCAUAGUAAGAGAUAUCACAAAGGAAUUCAUAUUUGCUGAGGAGUCAAUGAGUAGUAUGAGUUCAAAGGAUGGAGAGAACUAAAGUUAUUUAUCUGAAAAGGCUUUAUGAGUAGAGUAGGGACAUGACUUCAGUCUGAAGGACAGGUCGAAUUGCAAUAGGUAGGAAAGGAGAAAAUUACUGUUAACUGGGAAAAAUUAAGCAGUGGCAUAAAGGUAUGGAAACAAGGGUUAAUGAAGUGUGUUUGGGAGCAGCAAAUUGAUCACUUUUCUUGAGCUAGAGUGUCAUGUAGGGGCGCACAUCGGUGGGUAUUGACAAUAAAUAAAUAUGGCUUCUAAAUGAAAUGAAACCUUCAAAAAACCUUGUAAGGAAAGCUAUUUCUGAAUAUACUUUUGAUCCAUCUUAAAGAUCUCAUAAAAAACUCCAAUUUCAGCUGAACUUUUAAAAAUAAAUAUUUUGCAAUAUAAAAAUAUUUCCUGGCAUUAAGAUAUGCUCAAAUACCAAACUCACUGCCAAGAGAUUUUCCAGCUUAAACCCAUGCUUUUUAGAUGUGUUGUAAAGAGCUUUAGAUAUCAUUUUAUGUUUGCUUUAAACUUUUUUUCAAGGAAAAAAUAGAAAAGUAUAUCCAUUGGC
RNAcentral lists this long non-coding RNA (697 nucleotides) under Homo sapiens (human). RNAcentral's name for it is "HSALNT0006559". Lineage: Eukaryota; Metazoa; Chordata; Mammalia; Primates; Hominidae. The record is from RNAcentral.